GUGUCAGCAGCCGCGGUAAUACGUAGGGGCCGAGCGUUGUCCGGAGUUAUUGGGCGUAAAGCGCGCGCAGGCGGCCUCGCGCGCCCGACGUGAAAGCCCCCGGCUUAACCGGGGAGGGUCGUUGGGGACGGCGGGGCUUGAGGGCGGGAGAGGGUGGUGGAAUUCCCGGUGUAGUGGUGAAAUGCGUAGAGAUCGGGAGGAACACCCGUGGCGAAGGCGGCCACCUGGGCCGACCCUGACGCUGAGGCGCGAAGGCGUGGGGAGCGAACGGGAUUAGAUACCCCGGUAGUCC
RNAcentral lists this ribosomal RNA (292 nucleotides) under uncultured bacterium. RNAcentral describes it as "partial 16S ribosomal RNA". It matches the Rfam family "Bacterial small subunit ribosomal RNA", at positions 505 to 796 of the family's 1533-position model. The record is from RNAcentral.